RNAcentral lists this ribosomal RNA (497 nucleotides) under uncultured bacterium. RNAcentral's name for it is "partial 16S ribosomal RNA". It matches the Rfam family "Bacterial small subunit ribosomal RNA", at positions 28 to 507 of the family's 1533-position model. The record is from RNAcentral.
GAUGAACGCUGGCGGCGUGCCUAAUACAUGCAAGUCGAGCGAACAGACGCGGAGCUUGCUCCUCUGACGUUAGCGGCGGACGGGUGAGUAACACGUGGAUAACCUACCUAUAAGACUGGGAUAACUUCGGGAAACCGGAGCUAAUACCGGAUAAUAUAUAGAACCGCAUGGUUCAAUAGUGAAAGACGGUUUUGCUGUCACUUAUAGAUGGAUCCGCGCCGCAUUAGCUAGUUGGUAGGGUAACGGCUUACCAAGGCAACGAUGCGUAGCCGACCUGAGAGGGUGAUCGGCCACACUGGAACUGAGACACGGUCCAGACUCCUACGGGAGGCAGCAGUAGGGAAUCUUCCGCAAUGGGCGAAAGCCUGACGGAGCAACGCCGCGUGAGUGAUGAAGGUCUUCGGAUCGUAAAGCUCUGUUAUUAGGGAAGAACAAAUGUGUAAGUAACUAUGCACGGCUUGACGGUACCUAAUCAGAAAGCCACGGCUAACUACGUG